This 574-nucleotide ribosomal RNA is filed under the name Pseudomonas oryzihabitans. RNAcentral describes it as "bacterial SSU rRNA". It matches the Rfam family "Bacterial small subunit ribosomal RNA", at positions 90 to 661 of the family's 1533-position model. Lineage: Bacteria; Pseudomonadati; Pseudomonadota; Gammaproteobacteria; Pseudomonadales; Pseudomonadaceae. The record is from RNAcentral.
AUUCAGCGGCGGACGGGUGAGUAAUGCCUAGGAAUCUGCCUAGUAGUGGGGGACAACGUUUCGAAAGGAACGCUAAUACCGCAUACGUCCUACGGGAGAAAGUGGGGGAUCUUCGGACCUCACGCUAUUAGAUGAGCCUAGGUCGGAUUAGCUAGUUGGUAGGGUAAAGGCCUACCAAGGCGACGAUCCGUAACUGGUCUGAGAGGAUGAUCAGUCACACUGGAACUGAGACACGGUCCAGACUCCUACGGGAGGCAGCAGUGGGGAAUAUUGGACAAUGGGCGAAAGCCUGAUCCAGCCAUGCCGCGUGUGUGAAGAAGGCCUUCGGGUCGUAAAGCACUUUAAGUUGGGAGGAAGGGCUCAUAGCGAAUACCUGUGAGUUUUGACGUUACCAACAGAAUAAGCACCGGCUAACUUCGUGCCAGCAGCCGCGGUAAUACGAAGGGUGCAAGCGUUAAUCGGAAUUACUGGGCGUAAAGCGCGCGUAGGUGGCUUGAUAAGUUGGAUGUGAAAUCCCCGGGCUCAACCUGGGAACUGCAUCCAAACUGUCUGGCUAGAGUGCGGUAGAGGGUAG